CCGAGGCGGGGCGUCGGGACGUCACGUCGACGCUCUCAACACCUGCUGUAUAUCAAACGAUAAUUUGUUUGUGUUUUCUGGUGUGUGGAUCGUGUUAAUUUUGUUUUAGGCGGACAUAUGGAUCUACAGGAUGGGAUCUUAAAAUUGCCGCCACUUUUCACUAAGAUGGCGCCCAUGAGUGGUUUCAAGUUUGACGUGUUGCCAGCCUUAACACCAUAAACGUACAUUUUUACCCAUUUACUAGUAUAAAUCAAUAAAUGUGUUAUAUUCAUAAUAGAAUAUGAUAAGAAGAGUUAUAUUAAUAUAAAGAAAUAUAAAUAUCUUCAGAA
Molecule: long non-coding RNA, 329 nt
Organism: Anthonomus grandis grandis
Lineage: Eukaryota; Metazoa; Arthropoda; Insecta; Coleoptera; Curculionidae
Exons: 2
Source: RefSeq, a predicted model, not a curated record